This 23-nucleotide small nuclear RNA is filed under the name Arabidopsis thaliana (thale cress). Its description in RNAcentral is "snRNA_17598". Lineage: Eukaryota; Viridiplantae; Streptophyta; Magnoliopsida; Brassicales; Brassicaceae. The record is from RNAcentral.
AGGGUAAGAAUGUCAAAACAUCA